UGAAACACGGACCAAGGAGCCUAGCAUGUGCGCGAGUCAUUGGGACUAUAAACUAAACCUAAAGGCGCAAUGAAAGUGAAGGUCCGCCUAGCGCGGACCUAGGGAGGAUGGGCCCGUCAUAGGAACGGGCCCCGCACUCCCGGGGCGUCUCGCUCUCAUCGCGAGAAGAGGCGCACCCAGAGCGUACACGCUGGGACCCGAAAGAUGGUGAACUAUGCCUGGUCAGGACGAAGUCAGGGGAAACCCUGAUGGAGGUCCGUAGCGAUUCUGACGUGCAAAUYGAUCGUCGGAACUGGGUAUAGCGGCGAAAGACCAAUCGAACUAUCUAGUACGUGGUUCCUUCCGA
RNAcentral lists this ribosomal RNA (346 nucleotides) under Parachorius sp. sp195. RNAcentral's name for it is "eukaryotic LSU rRNA". It matches the Rfam family "Eukaryotic large subunit ribosomal RNA", at positions 655 to 964 of the family's 3401-position model. Lineage: Eukaryota; Metazoa; Arthropoda; Insecta; Coleoptera; Scarabaeidae. The record is from RNAcentral.